GACGAACGCUGGCGGCGUGCUUAACACAUGCAAGUCGAACGGAAAGGCCCUGCUUUUGUGGGGUGCUCGAGUGGCGAACGGGUGAGUAACACGUGAGUAACCUGCCCUUGACUUUGUGAUAACUUCAGGAAACUGGGGCUAAUACCGGAUAGGAUCUCCUGCUGCAUGGUGUGGGUUGGAAAGUUUCGGCUGUUGGGGAUGGACUCGCGGCUUAUCAGCUUGUUGGUGGGGUAGUGGCUUACCAAGGCUUUGACGGGUAGCCGGCCUGAGAGGGUGACCGGCCACAUUGGGACUGAGGUACGGCCGCGACUCGUACGGGAGGCAGCAGUGGGGAAUAUUGCACAAUGGGCGGAAGCCUGAUGCAGCAACGCCGCGUGCGGGAUGACGGCCUUCGGGUUGUAAACCGCUUUCGCCUGUGACGAAGCGUGAGUGACGGUAAUGGGUAAAGAAGCACCGGCUAACUACGUG
Molecule: ribosomal RNA, 468 nt
Filed under: uncultured bacterium
Lineage: Bacteria
Description: partial 16S ribosomal RNA
Rfam family: Bacterial small subunit ribosomal RNA
Source: RNAcentral